CGGAACAUAGCUUAAUUAAAGCAUCUCGCUUACACCGAGAAAAUAUUUGUUGAACUCAAAUUAUUUCGA
RNAcentral lists this transfer RNA (69 nucleotides) under Eupsophus emiliopugini. Its description in RNAcentral is "tRNA-Val". It matches the Rfam family "tRNA". Rfam says of the family: Transfer RNA (tRNA) molecules are approximately 80 nucleotides in length. The record is from RNAcentral. Lineage: Eukaryota; Metazoa; Chordata; Amphibia; Anura; Alsodidae. RNAcentral also lists the same sequence under 1 other name.